CCAAUAGCGUAUAUUAAAGUUGUUGCCGUUAAAAAGCUCGUAGUUGAAUUUUGGGUUUGGCCGAUUGGUCCGUUCUUGUAACGAGUACUGGUCGGUCGGGCCUCACCGCCUGGUGAUACGUAAUGCCCUUUAUUGGGUGUUGCGAGUAGCCAGGACCUUUACCUUGAAAAAAUUAGAGUGUUUAAAGCAGGCUUAUGCCGGAAUACAUUAGCAUGGAAUAAUAGAAUAGGACGAUGAUUCUAUUUUGUUGGUUUCUAGGAGCAUCGUAAUGAUUAAUAGGGAUAGUUGGGGGCAUUAGUAUUCAAUUGUCAGAGGUGAAAUUCUUGGAUUUAUUGAAGACUAACUACUGCGAAAGCAUUUGCCAAGGAUGUUUUCAUUAAUCAAGAACGAAAGUUAGGGGAUCGAAGACGAUCAGAUACCGUCGUAGUCUUAACCAUAAACUAUGCCGACUAGGGAUCGGGCGAUGUUGUUUCAAUGACUCGCUCGGCACCUUAUG
This 496-nucleotide ribosomal RNA is filed under the name uncultured Glomeromycotina. RNAcentral describes it as "partial small subunit ribosomal RNA". It matches the Rfam family "Eukaryotic small subunit ribosomal RNA", at positions 591 to 1092 of the family's 1831-position model. The record is from RNAcentral. Lineage: Eukaryota; Fungi; Glomeromycota.